UCAAUCCACGUAUUUUGUCCGUUUUUGUUUUUUUUUUCUUUUCCUCUUCCCAUUAUUUUGCCCCUCCCUCCACGUGUCCUGCUCGGUUUUUUCAUCUCUUCUUUUCCCAUUCCCAUUCCAUUCUCAUUCUCACUCUGUUCACCCUUCCCCAUUCUCAUUCUCUUCUGAUCCCUUUCUCUCACUCCUCAUUUCUUCCUCGUCCUCUAUUCUUUUCUUACUCUCUCUUGAACUACAAUGGUAAAAGACAUGUGUUUCCUUUACAAGAAGGUGGAAGAACAUAUUAAAGCUGCGAUUUUUAUCUCAAAAACUCCAUGAGUUCAGAGAAGUUGGAAGAACACAUUAAAUAUGUCAUUUUUAUCUCAAAAACUCCAUGACUACAGG
Long non-coding RNA from Glycine soja, 381 nucleotides. RefSeq lists it as uncharacterized. NCBI's taxonomy places the organism in Eukaryota, Viridiplantae, Streptophyta, Magnoliopsida, Fabales, Fabaceae. The record is from RefSeq and is a predicted model, not a curated record. The transcript is spliced from 3 exons.